UUGCCCAAGUAUCAACACCAGUCCCCUCAUGGACUGGCUCUUCAAAAUCUGCCCAUGAUCUUCACAACACAAUUUGAGUCCAGCGGAUGUGCAAAAUCAUCCGCAAGCUAGUUUCAAGUUUCAACAUUCAACUUUUUUGUAACCUACGUCUAUGUGUCAUACCUUCUCGCAUCAUCUUUGUAUCUAAAAUUUUCAGCGACUCAACCUCGGAAACAAGCGAGUCAACAACUCGUUCUUCGUUCUCAGUAGUCACCGUCGACUCCUCGGGGUUUUUAAUUAAAUACCCUUUAAUAGUUUUAAAAUUAUUUAAAUACCCCCUCCCUUUUUGGUUUUCAUGGAUACCCUAACAAAUGUGAGCAAAGUCGGAAAUACCCUUAAUGAAUGCAUCAAAUGCACUCAAUGAAUUGUCUUCAUAUUUCUUUCCUCAUUUCUUUCACUUAAAUCUAUUUUUGCUGCCGAUUCUUUCAAAAUCUCUUAGAAUCUCUCAAAAUCUCUCAUAACUUCUUACACAAAUACAAUUAUGUAUUCAUUUCUUUAACACCCACUCUUUCUUUAAAGGUGCAUUGCUUAUUAAACAACCCAAUAAGGUAUGUUAAUGUUGUUGGGUUUUAAAUUUUUUAAUUUUUAGGAAAAUUUAGAAAUUUUCCUCACAUUACAAUAUUUUAUUUUCACCAUUUUUUCUUAUACGUAGAAAUAUAUGCAAUGUAGGUUGUUUAAUUAUAUUUUUCAGCAAUAUAACUUAUUUAUGGCGAAAAUAUUUCGAGUCGUGCAUUCUUUUGAUACCGUGUACGUCAUAUAGUUAGUCGUGUAAGUAAUAUAGUCGUGUAAGUCGUGUAGGUCAUGUAAGAAAUAUAGUCGUGUAGGUCAUGUAAGAAAUAUAGUCGUGUAAGUCGUGUAGGUCAUGUAGGUCGUGUAGUUACUUGUAUAUGAAAUUUAAUAUUAUUGUUUUUAUUGUAUUAUCAGAUAUGGUUUUGGUACGCGUGUCUAUUCUCUUCAAUGGUGAAUGAAUUAAACAAAAUGACGAGUAUAAGUUCAAAAGUUCAAAGGCUAAAGGGAUAAUGAUACCACGAUCGACAACAUAUGCCGCAUUGGUGGAGAAGAUAGCUGAAGUUAUUGAUAUAGAUACUUCGGAAUUCAAAAUCACAAUGAAGUUCAAACUUAAGACAUCUGAUCCUAUGCCACCAGUUACAAUUCAAACCAAUGAUAAUUUGGAAUUUUUUUAAAUUCCAAUUUAAUUUCACUUCUUUUUUUAAUAAUUUUCAUUGACAUUUUCUGCAUAGCAGCAAAUAUAAAUUCUUAGCACAAAUUAAGUCUUUAAAGAACUAAAUUAAUCUAAUGAUUAAUGGAAAAUUCGUGUAAUUUUAAAGUCGCAAUUAAACAUAUUACAGCCAUUUAAAAAGUUUUUUUCUUUUUUUUUUUUUAUCUUCAAAGUGCUUUCUUCCUCUGGCCAAGCAUACAAGCAUACAUGAGGAAUGCUUGCAUAUAAUUAAUCCAUGAAAUCAAUUAAGAAAAAAAAUAUCAGCUAUAGGAAAUUAAUGUAAUGUUAUACACAUAAAAACACCAUUCGCAGUGAUAAAAUAUUUUCACUCAUAACUAGACAUAUCAUGACUUACCAUGACUUAUAAUUGGAAAUUAAGAAUCUCUCUAACUAAUGACAUUUCACAAGGUAAAGGUAUAUGUACAAUUCCAAUUUAUUGUGAGCCUAAUUAAACUAAAUGUAAUAUGCAGAUUCUAUUGACAAGAAACAAAAUGUGGAAUUGAAGGUCGUGUAAUUGUGUAAUACAAGAAGAUCGUAUAAUUGUAUAAUACAUGAAGGUCGUAUAAACAUGCAAUACAUGAAGGUCGUGUAAACGUGUAAUACAUGAAGGUCGUGUAAUCGUGCAAUACAUGAAGGUCGUGUAAUCGUGCAAUACAUGAAGGUCGUGUAAAACACAACCUUGAAUCUUACAUAACCUUACACGACCAAAUCUUAUAUUACAUAACAAAAUUAUAAUCAGCACAAUCCAUUAAUUUUUCACAAUUUGCAUGCAGCAAAACAACUAGAAAUUUGUUUUCGAACAUGUUAUGAGAGACCCACAACUAAUUAAUCUAUUUUUUCAAUAUAAAACCCUAACUUUUUAUUUUUUUCCCUUGAAUAGUAACAAGAAAACUAAUUACAUGGAAUUACUUGUCUCAACUAGUUACAUUCUGACAAUUUUGCAGUAAAUGAUCAACUCUCUCCGGCGAUUAUGUAGUGACGAACUAUGCUUCACUUUCUCAGUUGUGGCAGCUUCUCCUUCUCAGGCUUAGUUUGCUCGUGUUGAAGUUCGAUUUACCAUAUAUGGAGAAUGAAUGUUUGUUUCAGUAGAGGUGAUGUCAGUGAGGGAAUUGCAGUGUUUGUUUGUUUGAGUUUGAUAAUUGAGGGAAUUGCAGCAGAUGAGUAUUUGUUUGCUUCAGUAGAGAAGGGAGAGGUGCUGUCCGUUGAGUUGAAAUGUUUUAAAAUGAGGAUAACUUAGUAAUUUCCUAUCCGUUUUGAAAGGGUAUCGAUGAAAAUUUCGGCAAAAAUAGAUUUUAGGGUAUUGAGAUAAUUUUUGAAGUAUGGAGGUGUACCGGGCGCAAUUGGCUCCGACUCCUCCUCCUUCUCUUCGCUAACACCACUUCCGAGAUGGACUGAGUCAACUCGGUCCUUGAUGAUGGCCUCAGAUUUUAUCAAAUUAGUUUCUUUUUCUCUCUGAUUUCGAGAAAGUUUGUACCUUGUCUCUCCGGAGUUAUUAAUAUCAGUUCGGCGGUUGGGGAUAGAACGGCAUCGUAGAGUGGAGGUGGUUUCUUUGUAUUCUGACGUGGAUUGAUCUGAUUGGUCGGCGGGAAUGCAGUCGUAAGAGGGAAAAUCGUCGAGCGUAUCAAAGAAUUCGUCGUCCUCAUCGUUGGUUUUAUUCCGUUCGUCCAUUCAGCAACCAGAGACUGGGGUUUCAGUUUCCGGUUAUCGCUUAUCAGGAUCGAAUUUGCUUGCAAUUCACCGUGUUUGCAGCCUUCGUGUCAUCAUUUUUUUUUUGGUUCGGUUAAUAACAUUUGCAUCCCUAAUUUUUAACCAUUUCUCAUGAAUAUAUAUAUUUUUUCUUUUUAGCUCAAAAUGUCGUAUAUUCUUUCUAACACAUUAAACUUUUUUCUUUUCAAUUUUUUUUAAAUAACCUUUGCAAUAUUCAACUUUACCAUUAGUAAUUGUUUGUGACUUAGGGGCCUUAUGCUUCUUUUGAUUUGCUGACUUAAUUAACUUAAUUUUAAUCAAUUAAGGUAUUAAGUCUUUUUAUUUUUAAUUUAAUGAAAAUUUUUAAGUCAAUUCUUUUUUACUUUUUACUUAAUCUAAAGACUAAAAAGUCUGGAUAUUAUCAUUAAAAGAUAUUCUCCAAAAUAUUUCUAUUUAAUUUAUUAAUUUUUAUCUUUACCUAAAUUAAAUUUUAAUAAUUAACAUUAUUACACGUUUCUAUAACUUGUGAUAAUAUAAUGGUAGACUAUUAUUGUUUUUAUCUUUUUAUUUUCUUCUAGUUAGCAUUAUUUUUCUUCAUAAUUUUUAUGAAUAUUUUUCAUAUAAAAACAUCAUAAACUAUAAUGAUGUAUACUAAUUUAGAAUAUUAAUUUAUAAGUGCACAAAUGUAAAAAAUACUUGUUUUUAGAUUUUUUAAGUUAAAAAAAUAACUUAAUAUUUUUUUUAGAGAUUCGAACAAAAAAUAAAUAUAUUAUUAGAUUCAAACAUUCAGCUUUAUUAAGAUUCAGACUAAUUCAAGUUUAUUCAAUUUUUUUAGAUAAAAAAAUAAACACCACCUUAGGCUUUAAGUAUACUUUUAUUAUUUUAAUAAGAGUUUAGAUAAUCAGGCAUGUAAUACAAUAAGAACUCAUAUGACCUAUAAUGUGUGUAUAUAUAUAAUCAUUCUCUAAUGAGGCAUCCUUAUUUUGAUAAAGUGAGGAUGUGACUAAUAAAUAAAAUAUAAAUUUCAAUAUACUAAGAGAUAAAAAAAUAUAGAUUUUAAUAAAUUAGAAAUUAUAUUUUUUAUAUUUUAGUGACAUUUUUAUUUUAACAAAAUGAGAAUAUCCUUAUUAAAGAGUAUUUAUAUAUAUAUAUAGAGAGAGAGAGAGAGAGAGAGAGAGAGAGAGAGAGAGAGAAAAUUGUAAGGGAGAGAAGAUUUAUGAACGAAAUAUUCUAGUUGCACUAUAAAAUAAAUAAAUAAAUAAUAUAUAUAUAUAUAUAUAUAUCUAAAAUCUACCAUCCUAAUAGAUUUCAAGUUGUAAUAAAUCCGAAAUUGUAAUCGUUGAAAAGAAAAAUGGUUUGGGACCUUUUUAAUACAAACGGAGAACCAAUAUCCUUUUCCGUGAGAUUUGAGAAACAAGAAUAGCAAACAAGAAAUCAGCUUAUUGUCAUUAUCUGGCUACGCACGAUAUAGGAUCCGGCGGGAAUCGCCAAUCGCCCAUCAUAUACAUACAUUUGUUUUGCAAAUGUAUCUUUCAUCAUUGAAACUAAAUAGUGAAUAAUUAUUUUCUUUCUUUAAUGGGAAAAAGAAAGAAGAGAAAGUUCUUUGCAUGAACAUAAAAAUCUCCAAGUCCACUAAGAAAUGUACUUACAAAAAUAAAAGUCUACUGAGAAAUGUAAAACCAAAAAUUUAUCUUCAAACUAGAGAAAAUUUUUCAAACAACCAAUAGUUAAUGCGCGUAUUUUGUGAAAGAUAGCCAAUGGGAAUGGGAGGUAACGUAAUCAAAUAAUUUAUUGAUUUAUUCAAGUCAUCAAUAUCAAAGUGAGACAUCCAUUUCCAAUUGGAAGAAAAAAAACCAUAUUUUAAUUGCCAAACCGGCGUGGAUUUCUCUCUCUCUCUUUAAGGUCCAAUUAACACACUAAUUAAGUUCAGAUUGUAUAUGGACAUCUGUGACUAAUUGGUUAAUUGAUUCAUUAAACUAUAUCUCUAUAAUCUUUUCUAUCCAUAUUCCAUUCUAAUGUUGCAAUGACAUAUAUAUAAAUAUAUAUAUAUAUAUUGUGUGUGUAUAAGGAAAUUUAAUUAAUUUCGUAACACAUGCAUUAUUGCAUUAAAAUAAUAGUCACUGUUGCCUCAAUUUCGAUGGUCAAAAGCAAAAUAUUUAAAGCAGAAUCCUACAGUUUGACCAUGCAAAAAACCAAUGAAAAUUCAAAUAUCGGGGGUUCCUAUACUAAUAGUUGCGAAUGGGACCAACAAUUCAUAUCUUUCAUUAACCUGUAAGGUGGAAAAAUCCAUAUCGGCGAUUAAUUAAUCAGACAUGCUGCGGAUGAGGUUUAAUGAGAAUCUUAGCAUUGGCAGGAAGUCAACCAUGUGCCGAGACAAUAUUUUUAUUAAAAUAAUGCACUUGGCUUGGAUACAAUUCAGAAUAUGACAAAAACAAAUCUAACUUUAGUUUGACUGGUACUGCAUUCUAAAAUCGUACCAGGACGAAAGACAAAAUCACAUUAGAAGGGUAGUUGGAAUUUUCUUAAUCGAGCUAUUUGCUUGGAAGAUUCAUCAUCCCUGCAUUUAGCAAAUAUAAAAGAAUCGCAAGAUUAUUAAAACAACGUAGUAAUAACAGCUCAUCAGAAGAUCCGUACGGUACAACAAGGAAACAGGGUAGAAUUGAAAGAUAGCUCAUAGCUCAUACCUCACGGCUAGCUUUUCUGGGUCUUCAAAGAUGUCCUUCUUGAAGCUUGACCUGCUCCUUGUCUCAAUUCUGUCUGUAAGCUGCUUAUGGACACAAGUACUUGUUUCUGCUACUCUGCCUCGAGCUGAAGGUUCGGCUGAUAAAAUUUUCUUUUUAUUUUCAAUAUCCCCUUCUUCAUGAUAUCUUGUAACCAGUUGUAGCUUAUGUUUCAUUUCUCUCUCUCUCUCUCUCUCUCUCUCUCUCUCUCUCGGUAUUAGUAGUGUAUUAUUCUCAGAAAUAAAGAAUAAAACAUUGUUAAGAGCCUAAGAUGAUAAUUGAAUUGAGGAUCAGCGAUCUUACAAUGGUCAGAUUAGUGACAUUCAUAAUAUUAUUAAAAAAAUUAAAAAUAGAACUUCAAAAUUUGGUGACUGGUCGAAUUCAGAACUGUUAUUUUCACCAAGUUCUGAUGUUUAAUUGAGAGAUGCUUCUUUGUGCAUGUAGUUGAUGCGCUCAAUCAAAUUGCCAAAACAAUGGGAGCUAGGGACUGGACGUUUGAUGCUAAUGCUUGUGACCUGAAUGAGACACCAAUAGUGCUGGAAGAAGGUCCCACCAGGAUCAUUACUUGCAACCUUGGAAUCGAUAAUACAAGCCACAUUACUGAAAUGUAGGUUCUUUUUUUGUCAUUUUAUAAAAUUUGAACCGGCAUAUUUUUAUUUUUCAGUUUUGUGUUUAGGUUGAUGUGAAGGACCAAUUUUGGGUAUCUUUUGUUUUCCAUUUUCAGACAAUUCAAACGUUGCAACCUUUCUGGAACACUUCCACGAGAAUUGGUCCAGCUUCCUUCCAUCCAGAAAGUGUGAGUUGAAUAGUCUCUAAUCUAAUGCAUUGGGAGAUUAAACUUAUAAAUAAAUUAAUCAUUUUUGUUAAUUUGCAGUGAUUUUGCCUACAACUACCUAAAUGGUUCCAUACCAGUCGAAUGGGCUUUGUUGCAGUUGAAGUUCAUGUAAGCUAUAUCUAAUUCUCUCUAAUCAGGUUAAGCAGUUAGCAUUCUACUUGUUUCAUAGAGUUAAUUGAUCGUCAAUAAUCUUAAUGCAGCUCUGUUUUUGGAAACCGGUUAUCAGGCAAUAUUCCAAGCCAUUUGGCGAACAUUACCAGUCUCACGUACUUGUAAGCUAUCAAUUCUUGGUUUAUGCAAACAUAUUUAGGCCACUGAUGUAAAUGAUAACUAAUUUAUUCCCUUUGUAAUCUGAAUGGGUCUAAUUUGCCAGGGACAUUGAAGCAAACCAAUUCUCGGGAACCGUACCUGAGGAGUUCAGGAAAUUAGUAAACUUGGAAACUCUGUAAGGCAUUGUCAAGCUUUUUUGUGGCUGAUAUUUGUUCAUGAUCAAUGUAAUCAUUUGGACCAUAAAUUGUCAUGGUUACAGGAGACUGUCCUCCAAUCAGUUGAGUGGAAGUUUGCCGACGGGACUAGCUGAGCUAAAAAAUUUAACUAACUUGUAAGCCUUCUUGAUUAGUGUCAGAUCAUGCUCAAAAUUUAUCAGAGGUAUAAGCUGUACUCAUUCUCAUUGCACAUUGCAGUAGGAUCAGCGACAACAACUUCAAUGGGAGUAUACCAGAAUUUAUACAAAACUGGAAGCAACUUGAGAGACUGUACGAUCAUCUACAUUACAAAGAUUUCUCAUCUUACAUUCUGGUUCUUGAUUGUUCUUGAUUUGUUAAUUUGAGUUGAUGCAGAGAAAUGCAAGGUAGUGGAUUCGAUGGACCCAUUCCGUCAUCCAUCUCUGUCUUGGAAAAUCUGAAACAAUUGUGAGUAAAUAUUUCUCUACUUGUCAAUUACAAUAAUCAGAAUGAUUUAAUACAUCAAUUUAUAUGAUUAAUUUAUUAUAUUUAACGAUACUAAAAGGAUCUGUUAAUUAUGGCACUCUAACAGGAGGAUUAGUGACAUAGCUGGAACAAAUCAUCUUUUUCCGGAUCUUAGAAAAAUGGCAGGCAUUAAAAGGAUGUAUGCUCAUUGGCUAUUUUCUAUCAUUUUGAUGGAGUAUGAUUAUUCGCCUUAUAAUUAUCUUACAGGAUUAAUGUUGGAUUUUCAGAAUUUUGAGAAACUGUGGUAUUUCUGGGGAGUUUCCUGAAUAUAUCUGGCGAAUGAAUAAUCUGCGAAUUUUGUAAGUAUGCUACAUUCUUUGUUUUCUAAUGCAGAAAUUAAAUACUUGAAAAUGAAAGCAAAAUUCCGGGUUUACAUUCAUGAAAAGUAACACCAACUAGUAAUGUAGUAUUCUUCUAUACCUUGCAGCUGCCAUAGCAGCAAUAGAGUUGAAGCAUCAGCACUUACAGGCCAGUUAAUGUAUUUACAUGGAUAAUCAUUAUCUUUUGAAUUUGGUUUGGACAGGGAUCUCAGUUUUAAUAGGCUAACCGGGAAAAUUCCCAAUGUUGCAACUCCACCGAGUUUGAAAUUCAUGUAAGUUAAUGAAAUCAACUGUCUGGAUUUACAAUGUUAAUUAUGUGAUGUCCAACUCAUUAACCACCUGAUACGGCCUUGGUCAGCUUUCUAACUGGCAACUUUCUCAGCGGGAACAUACCAGCGUCGAUCUUGAGGAAAGGAACUAAUGUGUGUGUAUCUUAUCACCUGGAUGCCUUGAGUUUUACUUAUUUUAGUGAUUUAUGUUCAUAUAUAUUUGCAAUCUGUUGAUUUACUAUAUAGUAACCAUAUGUAACUUUGUAAUCCUGUUUCUAAAGAGACCAUAUUAAACAUCAAUUUUGUUAAAUAAAUAAUCUUAUGCAUGAAAUUUCCUUCAUUGCUUCUUUCUUGCAUGCAGGGAUCUGUCAUAUAAUAAUUUCACUCAUCAAAACCCUGAGCAGCCUGCUUGUCGGGAGAUACAGUCAGUAUAUUUCCCUCUCUAUGUUAAAUAAAUAAUCUUCUCCGCUUGUAAUAUCACUUGGUAUAUCUGAGUGCUGAUAUUUGCUUUGUCUCCCGUUAUUUCGUUAGGAAUCUAAAUCUGAACCUGUUCCGAAGUUCUUCUGGGCACAGCAAUUUGUAUGUUGCUUUUCAUGCUUUCUUAUUAUUGUAGCUUAUGUGACAGAUUUAACAACCAAUGUAUAAAGAAGUUUUAAAAAUAUACAGUCAUUUUAUCAUCCAAUAAAUAAGAAGCAACGUGUAUUUUUAGAUUAGACAAUGUAAUGUCUACUAAUAUUCUCUUUUUCCUUGACUAAAAACCAGAAGUGGAGUUCUUCCAUGUAAGAAUAAUUUCAAAUGCGAUCGAUGUAAGUAUACUCUACUAUCAGUAAGUCACCAUAAAAUCUAUAUCUCGAAUAUGUUGACUUUUAGAAUCACAAAUAGUUGGUAGCCUAGCUAUUAAUAAUAUCAUAUUCAAAUCAACUUCAAUUCUUCUGUUUAUUUUUUAAUUGUCAGUUCAUUUCUGGUUUCUUGAAAACUCAUUGCUCAGAUAGUCUUUAACAUUCUUUUUUCUCGGCAGAUUGGCACUCACUGCACAUUAAUUGUGGUGGAAAUGAAGUAAAAGUAAAUGGCAGCACAUUUGAAGGAGAUGGACAAAUUGGUGGUGGUGCUGCAACAUACCAUUCAGAAGAUGAUACUAACUGGGGUUUUAGUAGCAGUGGAGACUUCACUGAUGAUGAUGAUGAACAAAACAGACGUUACAUUGCAACUCCUGACUCAUCAAACCUUUCUGAACUAUACAUUAAUGCACGCAUUGCUCCUCUUUCACUUACUUACUUUGGAUAUUGUUUAGACAACGGAAAUUAUACUUUGAGUCUACACUUUGCGGAGGUCCAGUUCAGUAAUGGAAUUACAUUUCACAGCCUGGGAAGGCGUCUAUUUGAUAUUUAUAUUCAGGUAAUUAAUCAGAAUCAGGAAAUAGAUUUUCAUCGGACACAUUUCUCUCUGUGAGUUCUUGGGAGACAGUUGUGCUAUUGAGUAAUAUGAUGGAUGAUUCUCAAUAUGUUUCUCUGGAUUGUCUUGUUUCAGGACAAACAAGUUGAGAGGAAUUUCGAUAUAAAAGCUGAAGCUUCUGGGGCUCUUAAGCCAGUUGCAAGAUCCUAUAAUGUCACUGUUACAAAUCACAUUAUAGAGAUCCGUUUCCAUUGGGCUGGAAAAGGGACUACGGCACUUCCUAAAAGGGGAGUUUAUGGCCCCCUAGUAUCAGCUAUUUCAUUGAAUGACCCCAGUGAGUCCUUUUCAUCCCUUAUUCUGUUUUCAAAAUCGACUAACAUUAUAAUACGUUGCGAAGUCCGGAUUUUUAGUAACACAAUUUCAAAUGUUCUUUUUUGAAGUUUAACUCUCUACGAUUGUACAUUAGAAAAAAACCAAAAUUCAGAUAUUUAGUUUGUUUGCAGCCAUUUUCUUACAUAUCCAUUUUAUGUGAAAGGAAAAAGAAAAUCUCCAUAAGUUAUUAAGCCUAUCAAUGUAGUUUUGAAUUUUUUUUCAUGCCCACACGUUUCUGUAAUGCAUUCGUUCCAUGUUUUCACAUGCUUCUGAUAAUCCUGCUUCAUGGAUUCUCCUUGGCAGACUUCAAACCUGAAAAGAAGAAGGUAGUGCCGAUUGUUGUUGGAGUAGUUGCAGGAUUAUCUCUCAUAAUCUUGGCGUUCGGUAUCCUCGGUUGGAGGUACUAUUUGAGAACCAAGAGGCGCAAAGAAAGAGGUGUGGGCUUCUUUUAGAUAAAAAUUAAAAAAUGCUUCAGUUUGCUACUCAACAUUUAUUCACAAUCAUUUUCUUUUUCAUUAUAAUAAUCAAAAUAGUAUCUUUAUAACAGCAUUAACUUUAUGUAAGCAUGUGAAGACAUUUAGGUUCAAACUACAUGCUGAUGCUCAUUUUGACCAUCCACAUUAAAUUUAGUAAGGAAAUAACUUAAUGAAUCCAGAAACUCAUCUAGAGGCUAAAGCACACUUGUCUCUCUUUAUUUGGACAGGUUUUAUGAAAGAGUCGGAUCUCCAAACAAUUUCUUUUACCUUAAAACAAAUUAAAGCUGCAACUAACAAUUUUGAUUCUGCAAAGAAGAUUGGAGAAGGUGGAUUUGGACCUGUGUACAAGGUAUAUUGGCCAACCUUUUGCCCCUAAUCAUCCUCUUAACACAAAAUUUCCUUCAAUGGUUACUUAAAAUUUGUACAUUUCUUUUUUCAUAACUGGGAUGCAGGGUCAACUAGCAGAUGGUACUAUAAUUGCUGUGAAGCAACUCUCUUCAAAAUCAAGGCAGGGGAAUCGUGAAUUCUUAAAUGAGAUAGCCAUGAUUUCGUGCUUGCAACACCCAAAUCUUGUUAAAAUUCAUGGCUGUUGUGUUGAAGGGGAUCAACUCUUGCUAGUAUAUGAAUACAUGGAAAACAGCAGCCUUGCCCGUGCUUUGUUUGGUAAGUUUAGUCUAGUAAAACAAGAAGCAAAUGUUACAUACAGGUAUAUUAUGUUUCAUAUUCUGUAGGGAUGUUUCUGAUUGGAUUUGGAAUGGUUAUUGUAUUUUUAAGGUCGUGAAAACUGUGAACUGGAAUUGGACUGGCCGACCAGGCAGAAGAUCUGUCUUGGCAUAGCCAGGGGGUUAGCUUUUCUUCAUGAAGAAUCAAGAUUCAAAAUUGUUCACAGAGACAUCAAAGCUACAAAUGUUCUGCUAGAUAGGGAUUUAAACCCCAAAAUAUCAGAUUUUGGACUAGCUAAGCUUGAUGAGGAGGAUAAAACCCACAUCAGCACUCGCAUUGCUGGAACCAUGUAAGCCUCAUUUCACGUCUCUCAUUUAAAACUGAUAAUUUUGUUAUUGUUUCAGUGUAAUACAAAAUUGAUAAUUUUGACUUCAGAGGAUACAUGGCACCAGAAUAUGCACUCUGGGGCUAUUUGACCUACAAAGCAGAUGUUUACAGUUUUGGGAUCGUGGCCUUGGAAAUUGUUAGUGGGAAAAAUAAUAUGAGUUAUGCUUCAGCUCUGGAGUUCGACUGCACUUGUCUUCUCGAUUGGGUCAGCAACUAACUCAUAUAAUUCACCUUCUGCAUUUUCAUUUCUGUGGUUGUUGUGUCUUCUCUAAUGCUAUGUUUUGGUUUGGGUAGGCCUGUCAUCUUCAGCUAGAUGGAAAGUUAGUGGAGCUAGUGGAUGAAAGGCUAGGAUCAAAAUACAACAAGGAAGAAGCAGAAAGGAUGAUCAAAGUAUCUCUUUUGUGCACAAAUGCUUCGCCGUCACUAAGGCCAACAAUGUCGGAAGUGGUGAACAUGCUGGAAGGAAAAACUGCCAUACCAGAUAUGAUACCAGAAGCUGGAAGUUAUAGUCAAGAUUUGAGGUUCAAAGCCUUGAGAGACCAAAAGGGGCUGAGGCGUAGUCAGAAUUCGACAGCAACUCAGUCCCAGCAUUCAAUAUCAGCUGAGUUCAAUCAGGCCUCUUCCUCUACUUCGGCUGCCCAAGAUCUCUAUGAAAUUAAUGAGGAGUCAUAUAAGAAGUAUAAAGUCAUUAGAGACGGUUAUAAGCUGAUCCAAGGCAUGAAUUCAGAGGUACAGCUUUCAACGACUAUGCCCUCAUGAACUGCCUAUGAUCUUUACAACCAUAAUUCAUCGAGUUCCUAGAAACAUACAUCAUUUUUGGUGUUGUCAAUUCCGCAGUUCCUUUUUCAUUUUUUGAAAAUAUGUGUGUAUAUACACAUCUAUGUUAUUGUGCAUUUUGUUACCUUGGUGACUGUAAGAUUACAAACUAACUAUACAUUUGGAGUCCACAAAACAAAUGUGAAAAGAACAACUUUGAUGAUUGCUGGCUUCCUCAAUAAUUUUAGAGGCGCACGCAACCAUUUCCAAUCUGAUUGGCCCUAGCUGGCUGCCAUGUCUAGCGGCUCACAUCCGUCCUGCUUUUGAAAAACAGCAGCGAUGAAUGUAUAAAAAUUAGUUAAAAAAAUAGCACCUCACUAUUAAAAGAUAAAAGAAAUUCACUAUAAAAUUAAAAAAAUAUAUUAUGUUACAAGAUAUGUUUUGGAGUCUCCCAUGCUAUUCGUGCUCAAUUUCGAUACGAACGCUACUAUUCCUAUUAAAAACCUAUAAUGUCAAAUUGGGCUUAAAAUAUCUAAUUUGACCAUUCUACAUAAGAUCUAUUACUCAUCCACAUUUUAAUCUUAUAACUCUAAAACAAAUAAUAUAAUUUUCUGAAUCAAUAUCAAAUUGACAGUUUGACACUAACUAUUCAUAUAUUUGAGCUAUCAAUGAUCAAUGAGUGUCCAAACGAUUCACUUCGCUCCAUUCUACAGCAGCGAAGGAAUCUGAAACCUUAUCAUUGAUUUGACAAAUGCAAUAACCGGCCCUUUCUGUUAGAGUUACUAUCAUUAGUCAUACAAAAUGUUAAACGUUGAUUCCUAUUAAAAAAAAGAAAAAAAGUAAAGGUAUUCGUAUUGCAUGCUCAUGCAUGCACGGAAAGGUGAAUUGAAAGUAAUUAAGAUGGCUGUUUAAUCUUCACUUUUCAACAUUUUGACUAAAGAAAUAUUGGAUGUGCGUGCAUACAGCAUAUUUUAUUUAUGGAGCUGCAUAAUAUUCUAACCUUUUCUACUGUGUAAAUCAAAAAGUAAGGACAAAGGAGAAGAGAACGAUUGGAUGACGUUGGCUGCUAGAGGCAGAAAGAGAGCUGCUCUGCUCAAGGCAUAUUUUGGGUACAAACUUGAAUACAGAUUCCUAUUUUGGGUUUUGCGAAAAUGCUCUUCUUCUUCAAACGUUUUCUACUUCCUGUGCUGGUUAUGAGUUGCUUUUGGGCUCAAAUUUUUGCUGCUGCUAAACUGCCUCGACAUGAAGGUAAGUUCAAAUUUUUGCAAUUUUAGUACAGAUUUUCACUUUUACCAAGUAGGAUCUACUUCGAUUAGUAGGUUUUGAUUGUGUUGGCAGUUGGUUUGAUCCUAUCUCUGAAUAAUUACUUUAUCAAGAUAGUAAAAACCCAGAAUCUCAAAUAUUCUUUUAAAAGCAUUAUUAGCAGAUUUUUUUUUUUUUUAACUUUUAAAUUUUCUGAUGAUGAUGAUGAAAAUGCAGUUGAUGUUCUCAAUCAGAUAGCUCAAACAAUGGGAGCCACUAACUGGACUUUCGGUUCUGAUGCUUGUGAAGAUCACGUCACUAUAAAACAGAUUGUAUUAACAGAUCCUUUGAGAAACAUAACCUGCAACUGCCAAUUUCAGAAUGAAACCUGCCACAUUAUUGCCAUGUAAGUUAGUUGCCUUGAUUCUCUCACGAAUUAGAUGAAAGUAUUUGUAGCAUUCUUUCAAAGAGGAAUCUUGGUCACACAGUGUCAAUUUUUAAUGUAGUAACAAAAAAGUCUGAAAAUUGCUAUUGCCCAUUAAUGGAGUGUGAAAAGUGCUGUUUUUGCGAAAAGGAAAUUUCUUUUCCCAUAAAAUAAUCUGGUUUUGCUUUACUUUUUCGCGGAAUUCAUGCGUUUCAGCCUUCGAGGAACUCUCCCACCUCAAAUUGUCAAUCUUCCUUACCUCGAAAAUGUGUAAGAUUGUACACAACUUUCAGCAAUGCAUAUUUAUUCUAAUUUUAUUGUUCGCUAAUUUUUUAUGCAUUUGGGAUUGAUACCCAAUUUUGUUGAGAGGGUUUCUGUGAAUGCUUGUGAAAGAACUUUAAAAGCACUUGCUGAUGCUUCUCCAUAAAGCAUUUCCAGUACAUUUUUGACCCUCUAAGCAUUUUCUAGAAAUCAUCUACAAGUGCUUCCUCACAAGGAAUUUUGCAUUUUUGUUUAUUUUAGACUAAUGCUACCAAAAAAUAGACCCAUGCCAAAAAUGUAACUAAAUGCACCCCUAUUAGUCUACUGCAUUAUGAAUAUCUUCGUUUCCUUCUUUCUUUUACAGACCAAUUUGUAAAUUUGAUUGAUAUUGUUGUGGAAUGCAGUGAUUUUGCUUACAACUAUCUGCAUGGUUCGAUACCACGUGAAUGGGCCUCGAUGCAACUGAAGUAUAUGUAAGCUAUAUCUACAUCUUUCAAUCGGUCGAGAAAAUAAAAUUUUGUUUGUCUCACUGAAUUAACCAUAUUGGAAUUGUCCAUGCAGCUCUGUUUUUGCAAACCGAUUGUCAGGCAAUAUUCCAAGCCAUUUGGGGAACAUUACUAGUCUCACACUUGUCUCUCUUAAUUUGGACAGGUUUUAUGAAAGAGUCGGAUCUCCAAACAAUUUCUUUUACCUUAAAACAAAUUAAAGCUGCAACUAACAAUUUUGAUUCUGCAAAGAAGAUUGGAGAAGGUGGAUUUGGACCUGUGUACAAGGUAUAUUGGCCAACCUUUUGCCCCUAAUCAUCCUCUUAACACAAAAUUUCCUUCAAUGGUUACUUAAAAUUUGUACAUUUCUUUUUUCGUAACUGGGAUGCAGGGUCAACUAGCAGAUGGUACUAUAAUUGCUGUGAAGCAGCUCUCUUCAAAAUCAAGGCAGGGGAAUCGUGAAUUCUUAAAUGAGAUAGCCAUGAUUUCGUGUUUGCAACACCCAAAUCUUGUUAAAAUUCAUGGCUGUUGUGUUGAAGGGGAUCAACUCUUGCUAGUAUACGAAUACAUGGAAAACAACAGCCUUGCCCAUGCUUUAUUCGGUAAGUGUAAUCUAUUAUUGAUUGCUUGAUUGAUUAUGUGAGAGGAAAAUAAAAUAGUAACUUAGAAACACUAUACAAGUUAUAUAACAAUCUAUUAUUCUCCCUAGUAAUAUCUCUUGGAAUGGUCAUGUUAAGGUGGUGAAAACAGUCGACUGAAAUUGAACUGGUCAGUGAGGCAGAAGAUCUGCCUUGGGAUAGCCAGAGGUUUAGCUUUUCUACAUGAAGAAUCCAGAUUCAAGAUAGUUCAUAGAGACAUCAAAGCUACGAAUGUUCUGCUAGAUAGAGAUUUAAACCCCAAAAUAUCUGACUUUGGACUGGCUAAGCUUGAUGAGGAGGAGAAAACUCACAUCAGUACUCGAGUUGCUGGAACAAUGUAAGCUACAUGUCUCUCUUUUCAAUGACAUUUUGUCACUGUUUUAACAUCAAAACUCAUGAUAAUUUGAUAUGCAGAGGAUAUAUGGCACCCGAGUACGCUCUAUGGGGUUACCUGACCUACAAAGCAGAUGUUUACAGUUUCGGAGUUGUGGCUUUGGAAAUUGUCAGUGGGAAGUAUAAUAUGAGUUAUGUGCCAGACAGUAAUUGCAGCUGUCUUCUUGACUGGGUAUGAGAUUAACUAAAUUUUUAUUCUUUAGGAGUACAUGUAACUCCAUUUUAGUGGGGACAUGUUUGUUUGUUUGUUAUUUAUUUAUUUGGGACAACAGUUGUGGCAUGAGUUUAAAUCCAAUAAAUGUAGAUUUUUUAACAUAAUUGUCUCGGUUAUGUAUUUCCCUGGCCUUCCAUUUACAUCGAAGUGGUACGUUAAUGGAGUUAGUGGAUCCAAGGCUCGGAUCAGAAUUCAACAAGGUUGAAGCAGAGAAAAUGAUUAAAGUAGCACUCUUGUGCACCAAUGUGUCACCUUCACUAAGGCCAACCAUGUCUGAAGUGGUAAGCAUGCUGGAAGGAUCUUCUAACAUUCCGGAUGUAAUCCCUGAAGCCGGUGGUUUGAGUGAAGACUUGAGGUUUAAAACUCUAAGAGACCAUCCAAGAGAAAUGAAUAGUUCGGGUUUGGAAGGAAGUCUGUCUCGUUAUUCAUCGUCAGCCAGCUUCUUGCCUGGUUCUUCCAGCUUCUUGCAUGGUUCUUCCCCUACCGAUGAUGUCCGUGAAAUUAAUGCAGAGGCAUAUUUGAAGUUUAAGGCCAUGAGAGACAGUCAUAUUCAUAUGGAAAGACAAAGUUCGGUUGCCCAAGUAUCAACACCGGUCCCCUCAUGGACUGGCUCUUCAAAAUCUGCCCAUGAUCUUCACAACACAAUUCGAGUUCAGCGGAUGUGCAAAAUCAUCCGCCAGCUAGUUUCAAGUUUCAACAUUCAACUUUUUUGUAACCUACGUCUAUGUGUCAUACCUUCUCGCAUCAUCUUUGUAUCUAAAAUUUUCAGCAAGUACGUACUAUAGAAGUCAUGUUUGUGUGUUUGGAGGAAAGAGUUACCAUUUUUCUGGAGUUGUUGAAAUUACGUGGUUUUAAGGUUGAUGCGAAAACCCAUAGUUUUGGGGAAAAAAAGGAAAGAUAGCAGAACGCCACGUGUCAACGAAUGGA
This 16686-nucleotide long non-coding RNA is filed under the name Citrus x clementina. RNAcentral describes it as "Citrus clementina (C. clementina) long non-coding RNA (CCLE_LNC005749)". The record is from RNAcentral. Lineage: Eukaryota; Viridiplantae; Streptophyta; Magnoliopsida; Sapindales; Rutaceae.